RNAcentral lists this ribosomal RNA (492 nucleotides) under uncultured bacterium. Its description in RNAcentral is "partial 16S ribosomal RNA". It matches the Rfam family "Bacterial small subunit ribosomal RNA", at positions 29 to 507 of the family's 1533-position model. The record is from RNAcentral.
AGUGAACGCUGGCGGUAGGCCUAACACAUGCAAGUCGAACGACAGCACAGUAAGAGCUUGCUCUUACGGGUGGCGAGUGGCGGACGGGUGAGGAAUACAUCGGAAUCUACUUUUUCGUGGGGGAUAACGUAGGGAAACUUACGCUAAUACAGCAUACGACCUACGGGUGAAAGCAGGGGAUCUUCGGACCUUGCGCGAUUGAAUGAGCCGCUGUCGGAUUAGCUAGUUGGCGGGGUAAAGGCCCACCAAGGCGACGAUACGUAGCUGGUCUGAGAGGAUGAUCAGCCACACUGGAACUGGGACACGGUCCAGACUCCUACGGGAGGCAGCAGUGGGGAAUAUUGGGCAAUGGGCGCAAGCCUGAUCCAGCCAGACCGCGUGGGUGAAGAAGGCCUUCGGGUUGUAAAGCCCUUUUGUUGGGAAAGAAAAGCAGCAGGUUAAGACCCCGCGGUUCUGACGGUACCCAAAGAAUAAGCGCCGGCUAACUUCGUG